RNAcentral lists this ribosomal RNA (292 nucleotides) under uncultured bacterium. RNAcentral's name for it is "partial 16S ribosomal RNA". It matches the Rfam family "Bacterial small subunit ribosomal RNA", at positions 505 to 796 of the family's 1533-position model. The record is from RNAcentral.
GUGUCAGCAGCCGCGGUAAUACGGAGGGCGCAAGCGUUGUUCGGAAUCACUGGGCGUAAAGCGCGCGCAGGCGGGUGUGCAAGUCGGAAGUGAAAUCCCGGGGCUCAACUCCGGGGCUGCUCCCGAUACUGCAUGUCUAGAGACCAGUAGGGGUUGGUGGAAUUCCCGGUGUAGCGGUGGAAUGCGUAGAUAUCGGGAAGAACACCUGUGGCGAAGGCGGCCAACUGGGCUGGAUCUGACGCUGAGGCGCGAAAGCGUGGGGAGCAAACAGGAUUAGAUACCCCCGUAGUCC